CCAGACUCCUACGGGAGGCAGCAGUAGGGAAUCUUCGGCAAUGGACGGAAGUCUGACCGAGCAACGCCGCGUGAGUGAAGAAGGUUUUCGGAUCGUAAAGCUCUGCUGUAAGAGAAGAACGAGUGUGAGAGUGGAAAGUUCACACUGUGACGGUAUCUUACCAGAAAGGGACGGCUAACUACGUGCCAGCAGCCGCGGUAAUACGUAGGUCCCGAGCGUUGUCCGGAUUUAUUGGGCGUAAAGCGAGCGCAGGCGGUUAGAUAAGUCUGAAGUUAAAGGCUGUGGCUUAACCAUAGUACGCUUUGGAAACUGUUUAACUUGAGUGCAAGAGGGGAGAGUGGAAUUCCAUGUGUAGCGGUGAAAUGCGUAGAUAUAUGGAGGAACACCGGUGGCGAAAGCGGCUCUCUGGCUUGUAACUGACGCUGAGGCUCGAAAGCGUGGGGAGCAAACAGGAUUAGAUACCCUGGUAGUCCACGCCGUAAACGAUGAGUGCUAGGUGUUAGACCCUUUCCGGGGUUUAGUGCCGCAGCUAACGCAUUAAGCACUCCGCCUGGGGAGUACGACCGCAAGGUUGAAACUCAAAGGAAUUGACGGGGGCCCGCACAAG
RNAcentral lists this ribosomal RNA (607 nucleotides) under uncultured bacterium. RNAcentral's name for it is "bacterial SSU rRNA". It matches the Rfam family "Bacterial small subunit ribosomal RNA", at positions 331 to 929 of the family's 1533-position model. The record is from RNAcentral.